CUGCGGUUGUCUCAGUGGUAGAGUGCUCGCCUAGCACAUGUGAGACACUGGGUUCAAUCCUCAGCAUCACAUA
RNAcentral lists this transfer RNA (73 nucleotides) under Marmota monax (woodchuck). Its description in RNAcentral is "tRNA.Ala". The record is from RNAcentral. Lineage: Eukaryota; Metazoa; Chordata; Mammalia; Rodentia; Sciuridae.